CAAUUAAACCACCAAUUGUUCGCCAAACAACUACGAGUAAUAACUUAAAACUUAAAAGACUUGACGGUGCUUCAUCACAACCUAGAGGAGCCUGUCUAACAACCGACAACCCACGAUUAACCCAACCCUUUCUUGCCAACAGUCUAUAUACCGCCGUCGCCAGCUUACCUUGUAAAAGAAAUAUAGUGAGCUAAAUAGUACUGCACUAAAACGACAGGUCGAGGUGUAACCAAUGAAAAGGAUCAAGAUGGGCUACAUUCUCCUGACCCGAGAAUACGAAUAACACUAUGAAAAUUAGUGCUUGAAGGCGGAUUUAGCAGUAAGAUAAGAAUAAAANACUUAACUGAANAUAUAGCAAUGAAGUGCGUNCACACCGCCCGUCAUCCCUGCC
RNAcentral lists this ribosomal RNA (391 nucleotides) under Azemiops feae. Its description in RNAcentral is "partial 12S ribosomal RNA". The record is from RNAcentral. Lineage: Eukaryota; Metazoa; Chordata; Lepidosauria; Squamata; Viperidae.